GCGUUCUUAGUGUAACGGUAGCACAAGUGCCUCCAAACCACUUAGCGAGGGUCCGAAUCCUUCAGAGCGCGCCA
Molecule: transfer RNA, 74 nt
Filed under: marine sediment metagenome
Description: tRNA-Trp
Rfam family: tRNA
About the family: Transfer RNA (tRNA) molecules are approximately 80 nucleotides in length. Their secondary structure includes four short double-helical elements and three loops (D, anti-codon, and T loops).
Source: RNAcentral